Molecule: long non-coding RNA, 734 nt
Organism: Ochotona princeps (American pika)
Lineage: Eukaryota; Metazoa; Chordata; Mammalia; Lagomorpha; Ochotonidae
Exons: 6
Source: RefSeq, a predicted model, not a curated record
UGAACUGACACUAAGAGACUCUGUGUUGUCUGCAGGAGUUGAGACUUUGUUUUGCACUGAGCACCUGGAAGGACAAGAAGACAGGGAAGCAAGGAGACCACCUACGUCCUCUGAUUCCCCCGCCAGGCUGGCGUUUUGCCUGUGAACCAGUUUGUAGAAAUACUUAAAAUGAAGAUGCAACAUGAACAGAUAACUACUGAUGUUCUUCCAAAACGUUUACUGGAUUAAUUACGUCACUACAAUCUGACUGGAUAUUUGAACAUGGUAGCCACUUGUUCACUGAAGUACUGUAUCUUUUUUGGAGGGUCUGUAGCAGAAGUAAAAACAUGGCUGAUGUAUUUUAUAUUCAUGAACUCAGGGCAAUCUAAAUCUAAGAUUAUCCUUCAGAUCUGAAGUUAACAUAAACCCACAAAUGAUGAGUGGGCAGCUGAGAGGACCACAAAUUCUACUCUUUGGAUUGAAGCUAGGAAAGCCAGCCUGUGCCCAGUGUUGUAAGCAGAUACUGAAAAGUGCUGCUUCCUAAUCAACUUCAAUAAAAGUCAAAGCUUGAAUUCCCUGGAAAGCAUUGAACCUGGUAUAUUGACAGAAGGCAACAUCAUCGCCCUGGAUAAUGAUGGCUCCAACCCUUGGAAUCUUUCACAAUUUGCGGGCCACCUCUUCACAGCACCACACUGAAGCCUCCAAAGAUGAAUGCCUGGAGGAGAAACCACUUCCAUACCACAGUGCAGACAAGG